AAUUCUUUGGUCCUUGUGACGUCAAUUAUGCAGCCAUUAUGAAUUUCAAAGUUCGAGAAGAAGCGUGAGCAUGAUAAAGCCGCAUGAAGUGAGAUACUGAUUUUCUAGAUUAAGAAAGCACACAAGUUUCAAAAGUGACCAAAAAGUUAUGAUGGUUUUGGUUUCGGCUCAGGUCAUCAUUACCUUCACAAAGUGCAGAAAAAAGGUGCAAAUUGAUCUCUUAUUUUAAUUGUUUAAUUGUUUUAAUAAUUCAUGAAAUAUAAUAAAUUUUGUUUCUACACAAAAGCAUCGUUUCUCCUUUGUAAUUGUUAAUAUGCACAGCAUUUUCUUGUUUAUACAUUUUGUUUCCUUUUCGGAAUGUGUGUUUUUACAUUCGUUCUCUAGGAAACUGUAUCACUAACAAAAGCAGUAAACAAAGGGACUCCAACAGUGUGUGUUUCAUGUACUUUUUGUUACAAAGAAAUAAAUUGAGCCACUUCUGUUGCAAAAAAAGCUGGGGGAGAAGGCAUUUGCUAUUUUUUGUUUUGAAAUGUAUGGAAUCAUCCAUAAAGGAUGUUUGAAUCUUUGAGAGUAAGGUGUCUUGAUUGUAUUUUUACUGAUUUCGUUGUCGUCUUUGAAGGGAAGAGUAUUGUACUUUAUUUUGUUUGUUGGGUGUGGAUGUUAUUUCAGAAGCCCUGGUUACAAAGUUUUUCUCUAAUUUAAGAAGCACGAUUAUCAGGAACAAAUACCAAGAAUAUAUUUCCAUGUCAAUAAAUGCCCAGAAUGUAUUCAAGCUUCUUUCCAAUGGGGAAAAAACCUUGUAGCCAUUUGAAAUGAAAAUAAAGUAUACAAUUUUCGAAGUACUCAAAGUUGCUAUUUUUGACAUAUUUAGAAACAGCUGCUUUAGAAUUUUAUGCUCACAACAAGGUAAGCAUUUGCACAAAUCUUGCAUUGAUUUUCAGUCUUUUAUUUUGCAUUGUUUUCUCAGAGAAUUAUUUUUUAAUUUCCAUUGUUUCUCUAGAAAAUAGUUUUAAUCUUUUUUCAGAAAAUUUUUCUUUAAUUUGGCUCUUUCCUUCGAAACUUAUUUUUUAAUUUAGCUUUUUUUCCACAGAGGUUAAAAUUGUCUCUUUUGCUGUUAUAGAAAAUGAUUAAAUCCAUAUUAACUAGAAAUGCAAAUGCUUUAUUGAUGAUACAUUAUAAUUGAGGCUAAACAAAUCUUUGGUAAAAAAUAAUGAUAACUUAUUUUGAAUUUGAAUGAUUUAUUAAUAGUAGAAACAAAUUCAGGUUGAAUGGGGGCUGUUCCCUAUCAACUGGAUUUUCCUCCAUAUCGGGCAACAGUCUUCGAAUGUCAGAUAUAAAAGAUUGCAGAAGUAACAUAUCACUGUGGCAGAAAAACUGCCAAAGACAAUGGUCAAAAGCAAAUGUCUCUGCAGAUUUUUUAAUUUUUUAAAAUUAAAAAAAUAUAUAUUAGCGAAGUGAGCAGUGAGAAGUUUUUUGUCAUUGUGGUGGGAUCUAGGAGUAUGAAAAAUUUGAAUAUAUAAUCAUAAAAAAAGCCUUAUAACUGCUUAUAAUUUGGCAUUUGCUGAAGCAAAAUUUGAAGGCUGGGGCAAAAUUUGAAGAUGUUUUUGAUUUGAAAAAAUUUGAUUUGUACUAACAUUUUUACACUAUAUUAAAUUAAAAUUAUGAUAAUAGAGAAAAGAAAAAUUUAAUGUAAUGACCUCAUUAUUUGCCAAUAAUGGGGUCAUUAUGAUUUCACUUUCAAGUAAGUAACUUUGUGAAAAAAAUCUGAAAAACAUUAAAGACCAGACUGUAACUGAAAGCUAACUUCACAAAUUGUGUAAUCAAAAAGAAAAGGUUUAUUUAUCUUCUUUUUUUACAUAUAUUACUAUAGGUACAAUGCAGGAGUAGACCAUGAAAACCAUUAAGUUUUUAGUAGCAAGCGAAACUUAUCUUCACCAAGUAGCACCAUAAUUCUAAAUUCAGAGGAAUAUGCAGUGUAAAUUUGAUGAAGGGUUGUGUAAUUUAACAAGUGUGAGUAAAAUUAGUUGCAGAAUGACAAGCUAUAUUGUGUCAGUGCCUGAAGAUUUUUUUAUAUUUAACAAAAUUGCGGUAUCAAAAAUACCAUGUUCAAGGCAUGAUCAGCGUUUUUUUCAGGAUUUUUUUACUACUGUUAAACAGUAGUAAAAAAAUCACUCUUGAAGUUGGGUUUUAACUCAAUCUUAUAAAAUAAAAAAAUAUUUGAGGUAAAAAAAUGCUUAUUUGAUUCAAUUUUAAAAUUAAAAAUUCUCUAAAAACAGAAAAGUAAAACAUUCAGAUGAGAAAAAGGUUGAAUGAUGGAUAAACACAAAUAAAAACAUCAACAUGUGUACCAAUGUACAGCUUUUUAAAAAGACCCUCCAACUUUGUCUACCAUUGUCUUUAUGCCAUAAACGAACCUAACGGUGGUUGAAGAAACUUAAAGCUUCUCCGGGAGUAAAUUUAUUUUUAAAGAAAAGAGUUUAAGCACAAGGUAUGUUACAGAAGAAUAUUGGUUGUUCGUUACCGUAAUAGUAGUAGUACAAAUCCCUAAUUUAGCUGCACAACUUGUUUUGAUCACAACUUAAGUCAUUCCAAAAAAUAUGCUAGACUAGCUAUGUCCAUUUUUUGUUUUAAAAACACUGUUUUGCAGGAUGUGUAAUCAACAAACAUUCAAAGAAUUUUGUCUUACUUGUUUCCUGUUUAAUUAGCUGUGAAAUUUAUGCAUCAGCAAUAUAGCGCUUUUAUCGAUAUUGGCAGAGAAAACAAAUCAACUAAAUGAUAAAUAUUGCUUAGCAUUGCUUAUAGCUAUGUAGCAAAUCAAGUGGCCAUACAGUGAUCAAUUUUUAUUUAGCAAUAAAUUUAUUGUUUUUUAUCUAAUUAUCGCUAAAUAGUUAUCGUUAAUUAUUGCUUGCUAUCAAAUUCCCUGCAAUUAUCACAUAGCUGCAGUCAUCGCAUUUUCCUUCUUUAAAGGUCCUUGUGCUAAUCACAGAUAAAAUUGAUCUUCAUUGUAUAUCAAUGACAAAAUCCAAUUUUGAUGGCAAUUUUCCUCAAAUAAUUAUUUUUAUUCAAAU
Long non-coding RNA from Hydractinia symbiolongicarpus, 3068 nucleotides. RefSeq lists it as uncharacterized. NCBI's taxonomy places the organism in Eukaryota, Metazoa, Cnidaria, Hydrozoa, Anthoathecata, Hydractiniidae. The transcript has 2 exons. The record is from RefSeq and is a predicted model, not a curated record.